Molecule: ribosomal RNA, 1543 nt
Filed under: Escherichia coli KO11FL
Lineage: Bacteria; Pseudomonadati; Pseudomonadota; Gammaproteobacteria; Enterobacterales; Enterobacteriaceae
Description: 16S ribosomal RNA
Rfam family: Bacterial small subunit ribosomal RNA
Source: RNAcentral
AAAUUGAAGAGUUUGAUCAUGGCUCAGAUUGAACGCUGGCGGCAGGCCUAACACAUGCAAGUCGAACGGUAACAGAAAGCAGCUUGCUGCUUUGCUGACGAGUGGCGGACGGGUGAGUAAUGUCUGGGAAACUGCCUGAUGGAGGGGGAUAACUACUGGAAACGGUAGCUAAUACCGCAUAACGUCGCAAGACCAAAGAGGGGGACCUUCGGGCCUCUUGCCAUCGGAUGUGCCCAGAUGGGAUUAGCUUGUUGGUGGGGUAACGGCUCACCUAGGCGACGAUCCCUAGCUGGUCUGAGAGGAUGACCAGCCCACACUGGAACUGAGACACGGUCCAGACUCCUACGGGAGGCAGCAGUGGGGAAUAUUGCACAAUGGGCGCAAGCCUGAUGCAGCCAUGCCGCGUGUAUGAAGAAGGCCUUCGGGUUGUAAAGUACUUUCAGCGGGGAGGAAGGGAGUAAAGUUAAUACCUUUGCUCAUUGACGUUACCCGCAGAAGAAGCACCGGCUAACUCCGUGCCAGCAGCCGCGGUAAUACGGAGGGUGCAAGCGUUAAUCGGAAUUACUGGGCGUAAAGCGCACGCAGGCGGUUUGUUAAGUCAGAUGUGAAAUCCCCGGGCUCAACCUGGGAACUGCAUCUGAUACUGGCAAGCUUGAGUCUCGUAGAGGGGGGUAGAAUUCCAGGUGUAGCGGUGAAAUGCGUAGAGAUCUGGAGGAAUACCGGUGGCGAAGGCGGCCCCCUGGACGAAGACUGACGCUCAGGUGCGAAAGCGUGGGGAGCAAACAGGAUUAGAUACCCUGGUAGUCCACGCCGUAAACGAUGUCGACUUGGAGGUUGUGCCCUUGAGGCGUGGCUUCCGGAGCUAACGCGUUAAGUCGACCGCCUGGGGAGUACGGCCGCAAGGUUAAAACUCAAAUGAAUUGACGGGGGCCCGCACAAGCGGUGGAGCAUGUGGUUUAAUUCGAUGCAACGCGAAGAACCUUACCUGGUCUUGACAUCCACGGAAGUUUUCAGAGAUGAGAAUGUGCCUUCGGGAACCGUGAGACAGGUGCUGCAUGGCUGUCGUCAGCUCGUGUUGUGAAAUGUUGGGUUAAGUCCCGCAACGAGCGCAACCCUUAUCCUUUGUUGCCAGCGGUCCGGCCGGGAACUCAAAGGAGACUGCCAGUGAUAAACUGGAGGAAGGUGGGGAUGACGUCAAGUCAUCAUGGCCCUUACGACCAGGGCUACACACGUGCUACAAUGGCGCAUACAAAGAGAAGCGACCUCGCGAGAGCAAGCGGACCUCAUAAAGUGCGUCGUAGUCCGGAUUGGAGUCUGCAACUCGACUCCAUGAAGUCGGAAUCGCUAGUAAUCGUGGAUCAGAAUGCCACGGUGAAUACGUUCCCGGGCCUUGUACACACCGCCCGUCACACCAUGGGAGUGGGUUGCAAAAGAAGUAGGUAGCUUAACCUUCGGGAGGGCGCUUACCACUUUGUGAUUCAUGACUGGGGUGAAGUCGUAACAAGGUAACCGUAGGGGAACCUGCGGUUGGAUCACCUCCUUA